Molecule: small nucleolar RNA, 71 nt
Organism: Hyposmocoma kahamanoa
Lineage: Eukaryota; Metazoa; Arthropoda; Insecta; Lepidoptera; Cosmopterigidae
Source: RefSeq, a predicted model, not a curated record
UUUUCAUGAUGACUUUAUUCAGUUCUGCUUCUGAAUUAAUUUGAAGAAAGUCAUACCCACAAUUCUGAUGU